AACGCACCUUGCGCUCCUUGGUAUUCCGAGGAGCAUGCCUGUUUGAGUGUCAUUAAAUUCUCAACCUCACCAGUUUUCUGAACUGUUCUCCGAGGCUUGGAUGUGGGGGUUUGUGCAGGCUGCCUCAGCGCGGUCUGCUCCCCUGAAAUGCAUUAGCGAGUUCGAUAUUGAGCUCCGUCUAUUGGUGUGAUAAUUAUCUACGCCGUGGAUCGGGGCUUAGACUCGCUUCUAACCGUCCGCAAGGACAAUACCUUGACAAUUUGACCUCAAAUCAGGUAGGACUACCCGCUGAACUUAA
Molecule: unclassified non-coding RNA, 298 nt
Filed under: uncultured Agaricales
Lineage: Eukaryota; Fungi; Basidiomycota; Agaricomycetes; Agaricales
Description: sequence contains ITS2
Rfam family: 5.8S ribosomal RNA (bases 1-52)
Source: RNAcentral